RNA transcript from Ctenopharyngodon idella (grass carp), 913 nucleotides. It is a transcript of the gene named retinol binding protein 7b, cellular, with no coding region annotated. NCBI's taxonomy places the organism in Eukaryota, Metazoa, Chordata, Actinopteri, Cypriniformes, Xenocyprididae. The transcript has 5 exons. The record is from RefSeq and is a predicted model, not a curated record.
GCAAGAAGUGUGUAAAAGUUAUGGUCAGCCUCAGAGAACAGCCCCAUUGACCAAGCCAAAAUAGCCUUUGUGUCCUAGGAAUCACCCCUGCCCCGUAUUACUACACAAAGAGCUGCUGAAAUACGACACAACACAUCUGCUUCUCUCAUUUCCACACAUGUACACUUAAAUUCCAGUUUCUAGGUUCUCACAGGAGCUAGAACUCACAGAAACGCUUCAGGAUCAACAUCAAGCAUGCCUGCAAACUACAGUGGAACCUGGGACAUAGUGGACAAUGAAAACUUUGAAGGUUUCAUGGUUACUCUUGGAAUUGAUUUCGCCACCCGAAAGAUAGCGGGGAUGCUAAAGCCACAGAAAAUAUUUGAGCAAGAUGGAGACUCUUUCACUAUUAAAACUUUAACAACUUUCCGAAACUACUCCACUUCAUUCAAAAUUGGAGAAGAGUUUGAGGAAAUCACCAAAGGACUGGACAACAGAAAAUGCAAGACAACAGUCAACUGGGAAAACGACAAACUUGUGUGUGUCCAGAAAGGAGAGAAAAAGAACAGAGGAUGGACACACUGGAUGGAGGGAGACACUCUUUACCUUGAACUUAAAUGUGAAGACCAGAUCUGCAAGCAAACCUACAAAAGAACAGCUUGAACUACUGUGUUGAACUGAAUUUGUUGUCAUGUUUAUUGAUUACAUACAAUAACAUAACAAGAAAUGAAAAAGUAAACAACAGAGAAAACCUACAAGUGCAUUCAAGAAGAAUGGACACACUGGAUGGAGGGGGACACUCUUUACCUUAGGCUUAAAGCUGCUGUUCACUACACUGUCGGCUCUCUCUGUCAACACAUCGCCGCAGACUGCGAGAAACAAAUCACCAAACAGACAAUAGCAGCUAUUGCAGAGACUGCAUUCAGACAGUGUG